Cyanistes caeruleus (blue tit) is the source of this 1260-nucleotide non-coding RNA. The record is from RefSeq and is a predicted model, not a curated record. Lineage: Eukaryota; Metazoa; Chordata; Aves; Passeriformes; Paridae.
ACGCGGAGGUCCAGGCUGUGGCCCCUUAGGCCGCACAGUGGGAGAGCCUCACUUUUGUUCACAGUGCUGAGGUGUGCAGGACAGAGCAGCCUCGGGGCGCGUCGUGUCACUUGUCCGUCGUGCCUUCUGUGUCUUUUGUGCCUCUUGUGUUGUACGUGCCUUGCCCUAUCUCUUCUGGGGGCUUACCAGAAACCCCAGCAUCACUUAUAGCAUCUCCAAUCUCUGGGCUCCUCGGCUCGGCUGCUCUCAGAGGCCUUGGAAUCGCGUCUCUUUUGAAAAGCAUCCGAUCGGAUGUCUUUUAGAUGUUUUCUUCCGAGCUGUGUCAACAGCCGUGCGCCGCGAGGAUCCAUUGUUGCGGCUUAGGACUUGAAGAAACGCAAAGAUAGGUAGGGGACUGCGGCCCUAAGAUUCUUGAGCAUCUGUCUUGGCAGUUCCUGGAGUUAAUUGUUCCAUCAGCAUCUUCUUCCUCCCGGGUUCUGUGAGCUUCAUCAGCUCGCCUUCAUUCUCACCCGGCUCAUCUCGUUCCGCAUUCUCUCAGUCCUUGCGGCCGUCCUUGUGGCCCAGAGUUUUGUCUCCCCAUUGUGUCCCCUCGUCGGGUGUCUGGUGUGUCACGGGUGUCUGGGUGUAGUUGUCCCGGAGCUGCUCUGCCCUGCUGCCCAGCCUGGCUGUAGGUGUACAAGGCCAAGUCCCAGGCCCCUGUAAUUUGAACUUUGUGAUGUAGGGUGUAGUUGGGGUCUAGAACAUAUCCCUAGAUCAACACAAGAUGUCUGGAGCUGUGAAGUUACCCUGCAGCGCUUUGACUUUUGUCUCAGCUCUCUUUCAGAUGCGGACGGAUGAAAUCGGUGGCAGAGCGCCCCAUCCAGGGUAAGGGGGUUCCCCCGAGAAGGAAAUAGAGCCAGCUAGCAGCAGUCAAGGUGAAGUGGGCAAGGCGGUCCAGUCGCGUUUCGUCGAGACCCCGUCGCCAGCCGGCCGGCACGCCUGCUUCGCCGCUCCCGUGAGCCCUGCGGAAGCGUCACAGGGACCGCGUGACGGAGCCUUUUCCACGUAAAGGGGCCGUGUGGCUGGCCUUCAGGAAGGGGCCGAGGGCUUCCCGCGCGCCCUGCGACGACGCUGCCUGGUCCCGGCGUGGCCGUAUCGUGCGGCCUCAGGACACGGCCGUUCACAGGAGACCCUGACGGAGAGACGACAGCCUGGCGAUGGCAGGAACUUCCCGGAUAGCCAGGUGGCCUUCCUUGGCUCUCCGUGUGGAUCCUCCCCAGC